UGAAGACUCAGAAAGAGCCCGUCUGUGUGUC
RNAcentral lists this non-coding RNA (31 nucleotides) under Rattus norvegicus (Norway rat). The record is from RNAcentral. Lineage: Eukaryota; Metazoa; Chordata; Mammalia; Rodentia; Muridae.